This 634-nucleotide ribosomal RNA is filed under the name uncultured Marinobacter sp. RNAcentral's name for it is "bacterial SSU rRNA". It matches the Rfam family "Bacterial small subunit ribosomal RNA", at positions 870 to 1504 of the family's 1533-position model. Lineage: Bacteria; Pseudomonadati; Pseudomonadota; Gammaproteobacteria; Pseudomonadales; Marinobacteraceae. The record is from RNAcentral.
CGCCUGGGGAGUACGGCCGCAAGGUUAAAACUCAAAUGAAUUGACGGGGACCCGCACAAGCGGUGGAGCAUGUGGUUUAAUUCGACGCAACGCGAAGAACCUUACCUGGCCUUGACAUGCAGAGAACUUUCCAGAGAUGGAUUGGUGCCUUCGGGAACUCUGACACAGGUGCUGCAUGGCCGUCGUCAGCUCGUGUCGUGAGAUGUUGGGUUAAGUCCCGUAACGAGCGCAACCCCUAUCCCUAGUUGCUAGCAGUUCGGCUGAGAACUCUAGGGAGACUGCCGGUGACAAACCGGAGGAAGGUGGGGAUGACGUCAGGUCAUCAUGGCCCUUACGGCCAGGGCUACACACGUGCUACAAUGGCGCGCACAGAGGGCUGCAAACCCGCGAGGGGGAGCCAAUCUCACAAAACGCGUCGUAGUCCGGAUCGCAGUCUGCAACUCGACUGCGUGAAGUCGGAAUCGCUAGUAAUCGUGAAUCAGAAUGUCACGGUGAAUACGUUCCCGGGCCUUGUACACACCGCCCGUCACACCAUGGGAGUGGAUUGCACCAGAAGUGGUUAGUCUAACCUUCGGGAGGACGAUCACCACGGUGUGGUUCAUGACUGGGGUGAAGUCGUAACAAGGUAACCGUA